UGGAAGUAAAAGUCGUAACAAGGUUUCCGUAGGUGAACCUGCGGAAGGAUCAUUACUGUGAUUUAGUACUACACUGCGUGAGCGGAACGAAAACAACAACACCUAAAAUGUGGAAUAUAGCAUAUAGUCGACAAGAGAAAUCUACGAAAAACAAACAAAACUUUCAACAACGGAUCUCUUGGUUCUCGCAUCGAUGAAGAGCGCAGCGAAAUGCGAUACCUAGUGUGAAUUGCAGCCAUCGUGAAUCAUCGAGUUCUUGAACGCACAUUGCGCCCCUCGGCAUUCCGGGGGGCAUGCCUGUUUGAGCGUCGUUUCCAUCUUGCGCGUGCGCAGAGUUGGGGGAGCGGAGCGGACGACGUGUAAAGAGCGUCGGAGCUGCGACUCGCCUGAAAGGGAGCGAAGCUGGCCGAGCGAACUAGACUUUUUUUCAGGGACGCUUGGCGGCCGAGAGCGAGUGUUGCGAGACAACAAAAAGCUCGACCUCAAAUCAGGUAGGAAUACCCGCUGAACUUAAGCAUAUCAAUAAGCGGAGGA
RNAcentral lists this unclassified non-coding RNA (534 nucleotides) under Pichia kudriavzevii. Its description in RNAcentral is "sequence contains 18S rRNA gene, ITS1, 5.8S rRNA gene, ITS2, 28S rRNA gene". The stretch from base 159 to 311 matches the Rfam family "5.8S ribosomal RNA". Lineage: Eukaryota; Fungi; Ascomycota; Pichiomycetes; Pichiales; Pichiaceae. The record is from RNAcentral.